AUUGAACGCUGGCGGCAGGCCUAACACAUGCAAGUCGAGCGAGCGGCGGACGGGUGAGUAAUGUCUGGGCAACCUCCUGAUGGAGGGGGAUCACCACUGGAAACGGUAGCUAAUCCCGCAUUCCAUCAGAUGUGCCCAGAUGGGAUUAGCUCGUAGGGGGGGUAACGGCUCACCUAGGCGAGGAUACCGAGCUGGUCUGAGAGGAGGACAAGCAACACUGGAACGGAGACACGGUCAAGAGCCCAACGGGAGGAAGCAGGGGGGAAUAUUGCACAAUGGGGGCAAGCCUGAGAAAGCCAGGCGGGGUGGAUGAAGAAGGCCUUCGGUUGUUAAAGUACUUUCAGCGGGGAGGCGUUACCCGAAGAAGAAGCAACGGCUAACUCCGUGCCAGCAGCCGCGGUAAUAC
Molecule: ribosomal RNA, 406 nt
Filed under: uncultured bacterium
Lineage: Bacteria
Description: partial 16S ribosomal RNA
Rfam family: Bacterial small subunit ribosomal RNA
Source: RNAcentral